UGCUUGCUCUCAUAAGGACAAGGCGUGAUGAGGAGCGAAAUUAAAGUAGCGAAGGCUGCGACGUCACCACUGCCGAGAAAAGCUUCUAGCCAGAGACGGUGCACCCGUACCGCAAACCGACACAGGUAGUCGAGGAGAGUAUCCUCAGGUGAGCGAGAGAACUCUCGUUAAGGAACUCGGCAAAAUGGCCCCGUAACUUCGGGAGAAGGGGCGCUGGUCGCAAGAUCAGCCGCAGUGAAAAGGCCCAAGCAACUGUUUAUCAAAAACACAGGCAUCUGCAAAAUCGUAAGAUGAAGUAUAGGUGCUGACACCUGCCCGGUGCUGGAAGGUUAAGAGGAGAGCUUAGCGUAAGCGAAGGUUUGAAUUG
RNAcentral lists this ribosomal RNA (367 nucleotides) under Lactobacillus delbrueckii subsp. bulgaricus. RNAcentral's name for it is "partial 23S ribosomal RNA". It matches the Rfam family "Bacterial large subunit ribosomal RNA", at positions 1541 to 1914 of the family's 2925-position model. The record is from RNAcentral. Lineage: Bacteria; Bacillati; Bacillota; Bacilli; Lactobacillales; Lactobacillaceae.